RNAcentral lists this ribosomal RNA (450 nucleotides) under uncultured bacterium. RNAcentral's name for it is "partial 16S ribosomal RNA". It matches the Rfam family "Bacterial small subunit ribosomal RNA", at positions 354 to 796 of the family's 1533-position model. The record is from RNAcentral.
GUUAGGAAUAUUGGACAAUGGGCGCAAGCCUGAUCCAGCCAUGCCGCGUGAGUGAAGAAGGCCUUCGGGUUGUAAACUGCUUUUGUACGGAACGAAACGGUCCGGGUUAAUACCCUGGGCUAAUGACGGUACCGUAAGAAUAAGCACCGGCUAACUACGUGCCAGCAGCCGCGGUAAUACGUAGGGUGCAAGCGUUAAUCGGAAUUACUGGGCGUAAAGCGUGCGCAGGCGGUUAUGUAAGACAGAGGUGAAAUCCCCGGGCUCAACCUGGGAACUGCCUUUGUGACUGCAUAGCUGGAGUGCGGCAGAGGGGGAUGGAAUUCCGCGUGUAGCAGUGAAAUGCGUAGAUAUGCGGAGGAACACCGAUGGCGAAGGCAAUCCCCUGGGCCUGCACUGACGCUCAUGCACGAAAGCGUGGGGAGCAAACAGGAUUAGAAACCCGGGUAGUCC